GGAUAAUGGAGGGAGGCGGGGCCUUCUCUCCCUGUUCUACCCGAUAAUGGGCCUGGACCAAUCAAUGACUGCCAUUAAAGCCCCAGAUGUGAUGCCUAGGGCAGGUAGAAGGCAGUCGCUUUGAGUAGCAAAAACAGCAUUUAGAGGCACACAGAGAACACGCAGGCAGAGGCAUGCCGAAAGAGGGGAGCACCUAGAAGCAGCAAGGAGGCACAGAUGGGAAGCACCUGCAGUUGGAGAGCAGCAGGAGAGCAGCAUUUGGAAGCAGGAAGAAGAAGCCUUGGCAGAAUGUUCUCCUUUGACCACAGACUGGUAUUGGACCAUUGGUGAGGUGGAGUGGAGUGAGUGGUAAAAACUAAGUAAAAAACUUAAGACAUUAAGCUUGGCGAUAAGAGGUAUGGUUUGACUUCUACUAUGUAUCACUAAGGCGCCUCUGGCCCAGGAAGGCCCUGGUUGGUACGAACUGGGGGGCUCACGACAACUCUUCUUUAGGUUUCCUAUGCCUCCCAUAGAUCACUGACCUCAAUAAAUUCCCUCUUAAUUUUAACCACCACUGGGGCAGUACCAUAAGUACUCCAAGAAGCCCUGGGACAAAUCUUUUGGAGACUAAGCCUUUCAACUUCCCUAUAUCAUCUUCAACCCCCAUGGGUUCUGAUCUGAGUUCCAAAUUUCAGUUCUGUGGGAUGCUUUUCAGCCCCCAUAUGACCAUGCUGUUAACAGAAAUCCUUCGCAUCACUGCUUUAACUCAACUUACAUACGAGGUUUAUGCGGUCACUGGCCGUGAAGACACGGUUACCACACCUGUGAGAAUGACUAAGUUUAGCCCUUUGAAAAAUAGCCAUAACGCAUAUGAGUUAGAAUCCUAUUCACUCCCUAAAGCUGAUGAAUCAGCCCCUUCUGAAGACUACUGUUAAGCCAGGGUGGUUCUAUACCGUGUUCCGGUCUCAAGGUGGAUUGCUUAUGUGUGAGGGGCGGGGGGCAGUGAAGAUAAUUACUUGUGCUUUCUUCUCUAUAAUCCCACAAUUCCUUCUGUAGUCAUUAUAGCCAACAGUCAGGUUGCUAGAAACCUGGCAUCAAAUGUUCAAGUUGAUGGGUCCUUCUUGACUAAUUAACAACAUAUGUUACUUCAUAUUUUCAUUAGCCUAUGUCUUCAUGAUCAACUAUCUCUGGAAAGACACAUCUCUUAGAACUGUGGAUAGUAUUGCUCUCCGAAUGUGAAAAACUGCAAAAAUGAAGUGCUGGAAAGUUUCUCCCAGGGGCCAAUGGGGCCCUGAUUCUGUCAGUUCUGUGGCCACCAACUGCACCUGUUUUCUCGACCAGUUUAUCGUACAGUGUGGGCUGCUGGCCGCAGAGGGCCCAGGUCACGCUGCUUCAUCGAGACUGUGGCAGAAAACUCCAGGAAAUGUCCAGGAAGCAGCCACUGAAGCUGCAAUUAUGGCAACAGUGGAGGCGGCUGCUGCUACACAAGCUUGGAGGAAGAGGCUGUAACCUCUACUCUUCCCCGGCCCUGCAACUGCUAUCCAACCACCCCUAGGAAGAAGAUGAGAACUCAAAUGAAGCUGCACCUACAGUAUGGAAAACGUCAGCAGCACGCUCGAGCAACACAUGAUGGGCAAGAGAGACAACUACAGAUCUGUAAAGACAGACAUAAUAAAAAAUACGGUAUUCAUCCAAUGGAAAAGACCAGAUCGCAGUAAAAAGUUUACACAAAAGAGGAUUGAAGUAGGAUUUUUGAACAGACAUGAGUGCUCAAAAAAUGUUGUCAUGACAGAUUUAGAAGAGGUUAAAUAUGAAACAAGAACUUCGUGACUGUUAGAGGCAAUGUUCAGAUCGUACAAUGGGAAUAAGAGUACAACAAUGGAUAUUUGGAAUGUAGCCACACAAUUUACAGGGAAGGGAUUUUAUUUUUGUUAAGGGACACAGUGUUCCACCUCAUGUCUCCUCUCUCUUCACACAAGCAGCAAGUGGUAAAGCAGGGAUUAAAAUGAAAACCCAGGUCUCCCGAUUCCUGUGAUCUUUCCACUACCCCAUGCUGCUUGUUUUAUAUGAAGGGGACACAUGUUUAGAUACUGAUUACUAUUUAAACUUUCCAGAAAAUUUGCAAGACUAAAUAUGUACACAAUUGAGAUAACUCAUAUUAAUUCUAUUUUUGUAAACUUUGCUCCAAUUAUAAUAAUAAUAAUGGU
Molecule: long non-coding RNA, 2186 nt
Organism: Ornithorhynchus anatinus (platypus)
Lineage: Eukaryota; Metazoa; Chordata; Mammalia; Monotremata; Ornithorhynchidae
Exons: 4
Source: RefSeq, a predicted model, not a curated record